GUCAGUUGGAACAGGAGGGUCUCAUUACCCUCAUCAGAAGAUUGGUCUUUGUUCAAGAAAGAAAUGCAGGCAAAGCUGUGUGGGGAAAAGCCUUAUAAAAACCUCCUUAGUUCAGUCACUAAAAUAUCCUCUUUGGAGGCAUUUGUGGACCUUUGUGUCAGCUGUGGCCAGAAGAAAUAGCCUCAGGAACUGACUUGUCUGUUAUCUACCUUAAGUAAUCCUGUUAGUGUUACUUCUUCUUAAGGCUCAUUGUUGUGGUUCACCUUUCUUUGGGUGCAGUAUCCCACAGAGCUUCAAGCAAUUGCAGUACUAGAGAAUAACACACACACCAUCAUGUGACAAGUAGUUUUAAAGAUAACACGGCAACUUUUUCACUCCCAGCAUGGAACACUAGUCAAAGGCCUAGGAAUUACUGUUAACGCAGCAGGACAAAAAAGUGAGGGAAUGGAAGGAGUGGAAUCAGUGAGCGAGGACCGGAAGAAAAUCAGCCGGAGGGUGUAGUGCUUGCAUGAGAUGGGAGAAAAAGAGACAACCCAGCAGUUAUUGCAUCUUACAAGUGAGGUUCGUAUGACUUUCUGUUGGGGAACAAGUUAUUACAAAGCCUGUUAGCCAAGGCAGCCACUUUUUUAACUUGCCUGUCUAUAACAGCUACUUCUGCUGCUACCACAGAAAGAGAAAUUAUAGCUUUCAACCCUUCAUUUCAUCCCUCUUACCUAUAAUCCUCUAGUUCCAGUCUGUCUGACCACUUGACAGGGCUUUUUUAAUUAGUGAAGCUUUGGGCUGGGGACGUGGGGAGGGAGUGAAGCUUGAAUAUGUUUUGCAUAUACAGAAACACUAGACAGCCUUGGAAACUCUUGAUGAGAUGAAAAACAUCCUGCUGGGAAUAUAAAACAGCACACAGUGCCUAGAAUAAUGAUUCUCAUAAUUGAGAUUGUCAUGUGCCUUAUUAGGAGGCAUCAUUUACUUGAGAUCCUUUUCUACAAAAUAAAUAAAUUAAAAUUUGCCAUGAUAUUUUAUAGCCUAUUUCAAACUCUUGUCCAUUUAUUUCAGUCUCUGUAUUAUUUUGAUUCCUGCAAAAAGGCUUACAGGAUUGCUUUGAAAUCACUUUCAUCUUGGUCCUUUUUGUCUAUCAUUCAAACACUAUGUUGCACUCUGUGACAUAGAAAUAGUUAUGAUACCAGACUGCAUGAGACAGGUGGAGCUUCUUAAAAGCCAGUCUCUGCCCUUAUGCUCGGGUGCCUGCACUUCCUGAUUAUUUGGCAGAGCUGGCAUAUGUUUAAUAACAUGUUAGUAAAUGUCAGUUAGGAAAGAUACACUUCAGUGCAGAGUGCAGGACUUCUCUGUAUUCCUGGUAUUUUCAUCUAGGUCAAGAAAACAGCUUACUCUAAUAAUUUCUUAAUUUUAUGGCACAACAGACUAAUGUCUGUGCUGUACCUUGGAGACCUGAUAACAUGCUUCAUCAGCCUCUGUGGAAUUCACACAGAAAACAUUGGUCAAAUUGCCUUCAGCUCACUUCAUUUGUUGGUCUGCAAUUCUGCUCCAAUUCCUCUGGAAGACAAAGAAACAAGAUUUUAUGUGAUAGCUCAGGACUUCUUAAAUAUAUCAGCUGAAAAUUGAUCCUGACAUCAGUAUAGCAGGGACCACUAGUGUUAAAUCUCUAACAGAGUUGUUUUUAUUUAUAUAUUAUAAUAAACCACUUGACAUAAGAAUAAUAAUUUAUGUUUGGCUGACAGUUUGCUUUGGGUAAAACUAAGUAGGCAAAGUUUUGAACUGGGAGAAACUUUAAUAAAAUGUAAUUGUUCAGUUUCCAGUAACGUUGCAAACAGCUGGUUACUAUUUUGUAUUUCUACACUUUUUGCUGUUUUUAUUGAAUAGUUCUAUUAUUGAGG
Molecule: long non-coding RNA, 1889 nt
Organism: Mauremys reevesii (Reeves's turtle)
Lineage: Eukaryota; Metazoa; Chordata; Testudines; Geoemydidae
Exons: 5
Source: RefSeq, a predicted model, not a curated record